Molecule: ribosomal RNA, 28 nt
Filed under: Paradiscogaster flindersi
Lineage: Eukaryota; Metazoa; Platyhelminthes; Trematoda; Plagiorchiida; Zoogonidae
Also listed under: 1 other name
Description: partial 28S ribosomal RNA
Source: RNAcentral
UGACCUCGGAUCAGUCGUGAUUACCCGC